This 424-nucleotide ribosomal RNA is filed under the name uncultured Nitrosospira sp. RNAcentral describes it as "bacterial SSU rRNA". It matches the Rfam family "Bacterial small subunit ribosomal RNA", at positions 207 to 622 of the family's 1533-position model. Lineage: Bacteria; Pseudomonadati; Pseudomonadota; Betaproteobacteria; Nitrosomonadales; Nitrosomonadaceae. The record is from RNAcentral.
CAAGACCUUGUGCUUUUGGAGCGGCCGAUGCCUGAUUAGCUAGUUGGUGAGGUAAAGGCUCACCAAGGCGUCGAUCAGUAGCUGGUCUGAGAGGACGACCAGCCACACUGGGACUGAGACACGGCCCAGACUCCUACGGGAGGCAGCAGUGGGGAAUUUUGGACAAUGGGGGAAACCCUGAUCCAGCCAUGCCGCGUGAGUGAAGAAGGCCUUCGGGUUGUAAAGCUCUUUCAGCCGGAACGAAACGGUCACGGCCAAUACCCGUGACUACUGACGGUACCGGAAGAAGAAGCACCGGCUAACUACGUGCCAGCAGCCGCGGUAAUACGUAGGGUGCAAGCGUUAAUCGGAAUUACUGGGCGUAAAGCGUGCGCAGGUGGUUUUGUAAGUCAGAUGUGAAAUCCCCGGGCUUAACCUGGGAACU